Molecule: ribosomal RNA, 216 nt
Filed under: Glomeromycotina sp.
Lineage: Eukaryota; Fungi; Glomeromycota
Description: partial small subunit ribosomal RNA
Rfam family: Eukaryotic small subunit ribosomal RNA (bases 40-216)
Source: RNAcentral
GGGUCAGUAGGUUGGUCGUGCCACCGGUACGUACUGGUCUCACUGAUUCCUCCUUCCUGAAGAACCGUAAUGCCAUUAAUUUGGUGUUGCGGGGAAACAGGACUGUUACUUCGAAAAAAUUAGAGUGUUUAAAGCAGGCUAACGCUUGAAUACAUUAGCAUGGAAUAAUGAAAUAGGACGAUCGAUCCUAUUUUGUUGGUUUCUAGGAUUGACGUA